CCUACGGGAGGCAGCAGUGAGGAAUAUUGGUCAAUGGACGAGAGUCUGAACCAGCCAAGUAGCGUGAAGGAUGACUGCCCUAUGGGUUGUAAACUUCUUUUAUCUGGGAAUAAAAUGUUCCACGUGUGGGAUUUUGUAUGUACCAUAUGAAUAAGGAUCGGCUAACUCCGUGCCAGCAGCCGCGGUAAUACGGAGGAUCCGAGCGUUAUCCGGAUUUAUUGGGUUUAAAGGGAGCGUUGGUGGAUUGGUAAGUCAGUUGUGAAAGUUGGCGGCUCAACCGUAAAAUUGCAGUUGAAACUGGCAGGCUUGAGGACAGUAGAGGUGGGCGGAAUUCGGGGUGUAGCGGUGAAAUGCUUAGAUAUCACGAAGAACUCCGAGUGCGAAGGCAGCUCACUGGACUGCAACUGACACUGAGGCUCGAAAGUGUGGGUAUCAAACAGGAUUAGAUACCCUGGUAGUC
This 460-nucleotide ribosomal RNA is filed under the name uncultured bacterium. RNAcentral's name for it is "partial 16S ribosomal RNA". It matches the Rfam family "Bacterial small subunit ribosomal RNA", at positions 338 to 795 of the family's 1533-position model. The record is from RNAcentral.